CGUUCCCUGGGUUGUUGGCCAGUCGAUUUGUCCUAAACCCUUAUGCGACACCCAGGAGGUCUUUUUUCGUGGUUGAUGUGCAAGUCCGUUCGGCGGAAAGCCUAAUACCCGUUAGAGGCCACCGCCUUGAACCGCUGGGUUCAAGGACCUAUCCGGCAGCGGCAACCUGGGGAAUUU
This 177-nucleotide non-coding RNA is filed under the name Pseudomonadales bacterium. Its description in RNAcentral is "6S RNA". It matches the Rfam family "6S / SsrS RNA". From Rfam's summary of the family: E. coli 6S RNA was the first non coding RNA to be sequenced, but its function was unknown until recently. It consists of 184 nucleotides that fold into an extended hairpin structure with a large single-stranded internal bulge. The 6S RNA specifically associates with RNA polymerase holoenzyme containing the sigma70 specificity factor. Lineage: Bacteria; Pseudomonadati; Pseudomonadota; Gammaproteobacteria; Pseudomonadales. The record is from RNAcentral.